CAUUAGCUAGACGGCGGGGUGACGGCCCACCGUGGCGACGAUGCGUAGGGGUUCUGAGAGGAAGGCCCCCCACACUGGGACUGAGACACGGCCCAGACUCCUACGGGAGGCAGCAGUGAGGAAUAUUGGUCAAUGGGCGGAAGCCUGAACCAGCCAAGUCGCGUGAGGGAUUAAGGCCCUGCGGGUCGUAAACCUCUUUUGCCGGGGAGCAGUGGUCCGGACGCGUCCGGGCCGGGAGAGUACCCGGAGAAAAAGCAUCGGCUAACUCCGUGCCAGCAGCCGCGGUAAUACGGAGGAUGCGAGCGUUAUCCGGAUUUAUUGGGUUUAAAGGGUGCGUAGGCGGGCAUUUAAGCCGGCGGUCAAAUGUCGGGGCUCAACCCCGGCCUGCCGUCGGAACUGGGUGCCUUGAGUGGGCGAGAAGUAUGCGGAAUGCGUGGUGUAGCGGUGAAAUGCAUAGAUAUCACGCAGAACCCCGAUUGCGAAGGCAGCAUACCGGCGCCCUACUGACGCUGAGGCACGAAAGUGCGGGUAUCGAACAGGAUUAGAUACCCUGGUAGUCCGCACAGUAAACGAUGGAUGCUAUCUGUCCGGGCCGAAUGAGGCCUGGGUGGC
RNAcentral lists this ribosomal RNA (612 nucleotides) under uncultured bacterium. RNAcentral's name for it is "bacterial SSU rRNA". It matches the Rfam family "Bacterial small subunit ribosomal RNA", at positions 239 to 847 of the family's 1533-position model. The record is from RNAcentral.